RNAcentral lists this transfer RNA (52 nucleotides) under Onchocerca flexuosa. RNAcentral describes it as "tRNA-Ser1". The record is from RNAcentral. Lineage: Eukaryota; Metazoa; Nematoda; Chromadorea; Rhabditida; Onchocercidae.
GAUAGAUUUUUUUUCAGUCUUCUAAACUGAUUUUGAGGUAUCUCGUCUAUUU